GUGGGGAAUAUUGGACAAUGGGCGAAAGCCUGAUCCAGCCAUGCCGCGUGUGUGAAGAAGGUCUUCGGAUUGUAAAGCACUUUAAGUUGGGAGGAAGGGCAGUAAGUUAAUACCUUGCUGUUUUGACGUUACCGACAGAAUAAGCACCGGCUAACUUCGUGCCAGCAGCCGCGGUAAUACGAAGGGUGCAAGCGUUAAUCGGAAUUACUGGGCGUAAAGCGCGCGUAGGGGGUUUUGUAAGUUGGAGGUGAAAUCCCCGGGCUCAACCUGGGAACUGCCUCCAAAACUGCAUGACUAGAGUACGGUAGAGGGUAGUGGAAUUUCCCGUGUAGCGGUGAAAUGCGUAGAUAUAGGAAGGAACACCAGUGGCGAAGGCGACUACCUGGACUGAUACUGACACUGAGGUGCGAAAGCGUGGGGAGCAAACAGGAUUAGAAACCCCUGUAGUCC
This 450-nucleotide ribosomal RNA is filed under the name uncultured bacterium. RNAcentral describes it as "partial 16S ribosomal RNA". It matches the Rfam family "Bacterial small subunit ribosomal RNA", at positions 354 to 796 of the family's 1533-position model. The record is from RNAcentral.